UUUUCUUUUUCUUCUUCUUGCUGAAUUUCUUCAUAAAGUUGAGAACAUCAAGCACAUGCUUCCAUGUUUCAACCAUAGGAAUUUUAAUCUCCAAUUUCUUGAAGAUCUCCAUAAAAUACUUGAACUUCUUUUCCUUCCUAUGAUUUUUCUUUUUGUGAGGAAGGGGUUUUUCAUGUCAUCUUUUCUUCUUUCCUCUCUUCUUUUUUUUUCUUAGUGUUUUCCUCCCUCAACUUUCUCUUUUUAUUUUCUCUUAUUUUUUACUUUCUUUUCUCACUUUUUUUCUUUUUUUCUUUUCUUUCAACCACUUCUUUUUCGUUAUCAUCAUUUUUAUCUCCCUCACUCAACUUUUCUACUUCUUCUUCCUCUUCGUUUCUCUCUAUCUUUCCCUUCUCCAUCUCUAUUUGUUUCUCAUCAACAACCUUCUCACUAUCAAAGAUAGUGCCUUGGCAUUUCUCAUUAGGGUUAACUUCAGUAUUAACCCUAAUAAUACCUAGAGACUUCAACACGCAAGAGAUUUGUUCCAACUGUGAACAUUCUUUAGCUUUUCCUAAUGUUUCUCUGUAUGAGUGAGAUUCCCACCAGUGGUUGA
Molecule: long non-coding RNA, 589 nt
Filed under: Vigna radiata
Lineage: Eukaryota; Viridiplantae; Streptophyta; Magnoliopsida; Fabales; Fabaceae
Description: long non-coding RNA (VRAD_LNC011835)
Source: RNAcentral